Leopardus geoffroyi (Geoffroy's cat) is the source of this 8823-nucleotide long non-coding RNA. RefSeq lists it as uncharacterized. The record is from RefSeq and is a predicted model, not a curated record. The transcript has 2 exons. Lineage: Eukaryota; Metazoa; Chordata; Mammalia; Carnivora; Felidae.
UCCUCCAACUUCUCUUUCUUCUGGGACAGGUGUUGUCUCUGUGGCCUUGAGCUUGAUCCACAGUUCAUUCAUUUGAUUGGCAAGCAUUUUCUUGGAAUCGGUUAUUACCCCAUUACUGCAUUGGGCAUUAGGGCAGGGAAAAUCAAGCAACUCUGCAUCUCAUCUAAGUUGAUUGCUAUGUUUCGCUUUCUUUGACCUUAUUUUUUGUGGCAAGGGAAACACAACAUUAACAUUCUUCACAGGUAGUUAUAUUUUGAAGAGAGUUUGGAAGUCAUUUGAUAACUUUCUCUUCUCUAAGCAAGAGUCCUACUUCCCUCCAUCUAAGAAAGGCCUCCGACCUAUAUUUAUUUGACCAUUGAUUGCACUGGUUUGUUUUCCAGUGAGCUCUGGAGGUUGGCCAAGACCUUUCAAACACACAAGACAAAGACCUAAAUCAGAUGUGGACUUUCCCGCACACGCUUUGUCUAAAUUUUACAUUUACUUUUUUCUUUUUUUUUUUUUUUUUAACAUUUAUUUAUUUAUUUUGAGACAGAGAAAGUGCAGGGGAGGGGCAGAGAAAGAGGGAGAGAGAGAAUCCCAAGCAGGCUCCAUGCCGACAGCGCAGAGCCUGAUGCAGGGCUCUAAUCCAUGACCUGUGAGAUCAUGACCUGAGCCGAAAUCAAGAGUUGGACACUCAUCCGGGCCACCCAGGCACUCCUGCAUUUACUUUUUAUUUUCUGAUUAAAAAUUAAUAUUUAACAUAGAAAAUUUGGAGAAUGCAGGAAAAUCACAUGGAAGGAAGUUACUGCUAACUUUUUGCUCUCCAGCUUUCUAGCAUUUUGUGUGUAAGUAUGUUUUGUGUAGGUGUAGAAAAGCUAUGAUCGUAUCGAACAUAUCAUUUUGUAAUCUACUUAUUUGACUAAAAAUAUAUUAUGAAUAUUUUCCAUAUCACUAAACAUUUCUUCUCAAACAUAAUUUUAAUAACCACACAGGAGUCUAUUAUAGGGAAAGUCCAUAAUUUACUUAAUCAAUGUGUACAGUGGACCGUGCAAGCUGUUUUCUUUUCCUUUUUUUUUUUUUUUUUUACUAUUAUUAAAAACACUGUGGUAAACAUCAUAGUACAGAAGACUCACUGUAUAUUUUCUGUUAUUUCCUUGAAUAAAUUCCUAGAAAUGGAAUUGCCAGAUCGAAGGAUAUGAACUAGUCUAAGGCUGUGGUGAUGUAUGGCAAAUUUUUCUUCUGGAAACUUCUAUGCAUGUAUGUUUCCCAGCAGCAGUUUAUGAUCAUUCCUGCUUCCCCACUCUCAGGAACAGCGUCUUAGCAGUUUUUUUAAAUCUUUGUCAAUUAUCAAACUAUAAAACGGCAUCUCAUUUUUAUUUUAAUUUAAUUUGUAUCUCUUUGAUUACUAGUGAGAUUGAACGUCUUUCAUUUGUUAGCCUUGUAUGAAAUGUUCAUCUUUUUGUAUCGAUUUCUAAGAACUUUUAUACAAGAAGGUUAUUAUCCCAUCGUGCACUUUUCCAACAUGUAGAAAAUAGAGAAAACUCUUAUUUCUCAGCAGAAGGGGGCUCUUGUGGAAUAAGGCUCCAGGUCUCAUUCUGUCUUGUUUCUGUGGAAAGUUCUUCAGCGUGAAAGGUGGAUUUUUAUCCUAGGAAAACUAAAGGCAAAUCUAUAAGUGAUACUGGUGUUGAUCUUUAAAAAAUAAUAAUAAUAAUAACCCUGCAAUCUGAAUUCACUUACCAUUUUCUAUAUUUCUAGUCUAUGAAAGAACUCAGAGCUAUCAAGUAGAACCCGAGAGUUUUCUUGGAAAACCUAGAGAUAUAUUAAUCAGUCAAAUGUUCCUGGACAGUUUACCCUAAUACUACCGGAAGUAUUAGGAUUUGCCGAGUAAGUCCUUGGCUAGUUUGUACCCCGGAUGAAGAAAGAAAGCUACAGACAUUUAACAAGCUUUCUUAUGACCUUAGCUCGACUUAGGUCUAAAACAUGGUCUUCUGAGUGACAGGCUGUUUUCUGGUAGUUUGGCUGCCGUAUCAGUCUCCUGGUAUCUUCUCCUGCCACCUGUGAGGGAGCACAUUCUUCUGGGCUGUUGAAUUUUGACACAUCACCGGCGCUGUCCCCCUCUGCCCUCGUGGUUCCAUAUCAGAGCACAUACAGAAAAGCCAGGUCAGAUUCCCAAGCCCACAGCACCAAUGGAAGACUCCCACUGCGGAGGUUUCUGGAACAAUGUGAAAGGGGAAAAAAAAAUUCAACUUUAAAAAAUCAACCCACUCUCGCACCUGGUUGAGAAUCUCAGAAGAAAAGAGGCCACUCCCCAGCAUCCACAGAAGAUCUCGGGGGGGGGGGGGAUCCAUGAAUUCUGAAUUCUCCAGUCCAUAGGUUGUUUUCAAGCCCUUGUUCUCAUUUCUGUCAGUAAGUGGAAUUCUCAAAACAACAAUACCCUUCCUUAAAUAAAUUAGUGCCCCAUUCUAGCACAUUCCCCUCAACGUCCUCUGUCUGCAUUCUCCCCUACAGCUUCCCACCGUAUCCACCCCCCUCUUCUGUGAGCUGUAAUGACCCUGCAAACACUAAAUGGCAUUUGAGUGCAUUAAGCAGCAAACUCUCCGGUGACAUAGCAAUUAUGACUCUGAAAUAGAUUUGGUGCGUCACAGAAGAUAAGGGUUUUGAAAGUUUCUGUUGUGAUUAUAGCCUGUAACUCCCACAAAUAACAGGCUUCAAAAUAAGAGGCUGCCAGUGGCGCCUUUGUGGCUUUGUCUCAGUGAUGGCACGUAAAUUGCUAUUAAUGUCCUAAGUGUACUUGAAUAUGCCAGUCUUUGGGACGCAGAGUUGGCUCAGUGUCUCUCUCUACAUGGCAUGUCAUUGUUGGUCUGAUAAUCUGGGGUAAUUGCUGUCUCUUGGAUGGUCAGAAAAGUGUAAGGGGCUUUAGCUUCCUGUGUGAUGGUAAAUAGCUUCCAGGUCCACACCAUGAGUGCGCGCGUGUGUGUGUGUGUGUGUGCGCGUGUGUGUGUUCUGUGCAUGGCUACCGUUCAUGGUGAAGGUGUGUAUACAAUCUCUGUGUGUGCCCUGAGUAAAUAAAAGCCUUUCAGAAAAGCCAAAGCAAAAUCAGAGGUUACAAAAAUAAAAUGAAGAACUUGGGGCUGUGGAGAAUCAGCCCGUUGGAUAAUUUAUACUGAGAGUUAAAAAAAAAGUGUUUAAAAAUACCCUUUGCUUGCAUUAUCCAGAUUUGGCCAUAUGAGUAGAUGCAAUGUUCUGUUGUCUUACACAGCUCCUCUUUUCCAGCAGAAGCAGCAUCUGUGUGUGUGUGCACGUGUGUGCGUGUUCCUAUAUGCAUUCUUCAGGUGUUGUGUUUUCUACAUGCGUAGUGGCUCUGUGUAAAUAUGACAAAGUGUGUCGACAUUUUGCCUGUUGGUGAACACUGUGUGUGGAUGUGUGUUAAGUGUGGAUGUGUGCUGGUUUCUGCAGGUCUGAGCGUAGAGGAUGUUUAUUCAGAUAUAAAUACUUUGCUGCACUGAGGCACCUCUAUUUAGCUAAAUCAAGCUGAACUUAUUUUCCUUGACUCUGCAAAGUUAAAUAAAACAGAUUUUUAACUCCUGAUGUACAUUUAACAUAGGGACUCCGUAAGUCGGUGGGACGUGGAGACGUUAUGUGUCACCGUCCUAUGUGCACUUUUAACAGAAAUAAGAAAGCAACCCAACGGAUGAACUUGGAAACUCACACUACUUCAUCUCCCGUGCGAGCUGUGAAAGGGUCACCCAAAACCAUCCUCUGUGUCUGAAGCGCCUUACAGGACGGUAUUGAUUGCGGGCCUUCACAACAGAUGACUUCAUAAAUGACGAAGCUUAGACGGUGCCAUCAUAGGUCUUGAUCUCAGAGUCGACCUCCAUGUGCACUUGAGUCGUGUGGUGCGGGGUGCUGGCAGGGUGGCGCCCGGUGACCAUGUGGCAGUCAAUGGUCUUGUGGUUGGGUUUCGACGGGCACCCCUCGGGCAGCAGUUAGAGUGUGUGCCAGAUAAGGUUGGAGGCAGCGACUGGUCAUGGAGAGUCCGUGCUCCUCCCAGGUAGAUGGCCACCAAAUUUACUCCACAGGUCUUCGAGCAGGACCCCGCCUUUCCGGAUAAGGUGACUUAAUAUUAACUAGCAAGAUGGCGCUACCCACAGUGGCAUAACACCAGGGCAGUAGAGCUUGUCUUGUCCAAAACCAAGUUUGGUGAGGUGGACUGAGGCUUAGGAGUGAGCGGUAUCAGAAUCCCCUAAAAGACUCUUUUGAGGCCGUCUUGUGGCUCAUAGGUUCCGGCAUCUUCCUAAACAGCACAAAGAUUCCCUGAAGGGGAACCACAGACACGAAUCCCCUGCCUUCAGCCCUAAGCCACGCUUCACGUGUGGUGCCCACACGUGUCACACAGCCCGACCUUUUCAAAUUUGAAGUGUCUAAAAUAGUGGCACAGAGCGGGGACUGCGUUUGGCAUAUUCUAGUUUCUGAGUCCUAGUUUCCUCACCUGACAAGUAGGAAUAGGAACCCCCGCAGGGUUUGUGUACCAUUUGAGACUCAUCCACCAGAGUAAGAGAAUCGCUACCACAAUCCGUGUGUUACUGUGCAGUUAUCACAGACACCGGCGGCCCGACGGCCUUGCACGCACAGGGCAGGCCGCCAACGGAAGCUUUCAAAGCAUUCGUUUCUCUGUUCAUCCAACUCGAGACUUAACCAAGCGGCUCCCGGUGAGACGUGAUCCCUGUUCUCUGAGGCCCUGUGGCUGAAUGAUCUGUGAUCUCGUUGAGACUGAAGACGAAAGCCAUUCAUAUGGCCUGCAAGCCUUGGCAUGAUGGAGCCCUGCCACUCUCCGGCCCCAUCUUGCUGCCGUGGCUGCUCUUCUCCUGGUUCCAUUGCUUCUGGCCUCCUCUCAGUUCCUUGGAGCCUUGGGAAGGGAUUCUCUCUCUGCCCAGUGGCCUCUUUGCCCCUCUUUCUACUUGUCUGUAUCCGCUCACCUCUGGGCUGACUUCCCAGAAGCCCGAGUGCAAUGAGGUCCCUACUAUAUUCUCUCCUCGCACUUACUACCACCUAGAAUCUACGUUUGUCCUUUUGACAAGUUAUCCAAUGUCUGUGUCCCACGAGGCAGGAAGAAGCGGGAGAGCAGAUGUCAGAUGUGUCAAAUCUACCACUGUAUGCCCGGUGCAUAGCACGGGGCAGGCACUGGAGACGUAUUUGUGGAUCAGAAUGAAAUGGUGACCGUGAGGAAGAGCCGGUACUCACAUAGACCUUUAAAUAAAUAAGAGCUGCAUAUGGUUAAAAGUCAACAUGAAGGGUCAAAAAGUCGGGGGUCCUGGCAUUUAGGGAAGUGGGUGAUGGUGUGCCUUGAAAGAGGAAGGAGGUGGCUCUCUGACCAGGCCGUGGAAGAUGACGCAGGUUUCUAGAGGCCAGAGGAGAGGGACGGGCAAAGGCCAAGAGCCUCUCGCUGGAUUUCAUCUGUAGAGCAAAAGGGACCCUCACUUGGGCAGUGGGCGAUCUGUUAUUCAGCUGAAACUACUGAAGUCUCGGUUAGCAAGGGUAUCUGUUCUCUACCAGGAACGGCUGAUUUGUCUUAACAUACACAGACCUUUCAGGGCAAAAUCUCGAGGCUCGAGAAGCUGCGGUGGGGCCCGCCUAGAAAGGGAGAGCAUGGUGGGACCCGGCUGGAAGGUCACCAGGGACUGACCGAGUGGCAGGUGGCAACCAGGGAGGACACCCUCUGCGGUCAGGGGACCAUGGAAACAGGGAUUCUGGGGCCAGCAGCAUGGGGAUAAUCCAAGCAGAGGGUUGACUCCGGGGAAAUGUGAUGGCAGGUGGGAGUUGGUGAGCUGAGGCUCCAGAGCAAGCUUCGAGUUGCAAGGGCAAGUCACGAUCUCGGUCUUAGCCGAACUGGCAGAAAUAGCGGGAAUUUACGCAGAAGCUGGCCGUGGAUUUGGCAGAGGUGGCUUUAGCCGCAGAAGAGAAGUACCUGUACAAAGAAACAGGUGCAAGAGGUCAGAGCAGGACAAGCAGCAAAAUUGAUUCUGAGUUGCCUGGGGUACCCGGUGAGCCAGAAUAGAAUCUUUUGGGUUGAGUGUCCCUGUUAUUCCCCAGCAGGGAUGCCCAGAUCUAGUGAGUGUAGACACUGCACGGGACAGACGUACACUAAACAGUUACUUGUUGUUUAUCCCAGCUUUGGGAGGUGUCCUCUAUUUUCUCUGGCGGCUCCAUUCCCAGAUCCCAAGGUGGUAGAAGCUGGAUCUGCGUGGGAGUCUCAGCCUCAGAGAGGAUAAAGAUGGGAAAAGCCCCUGCAGGCCACACAGGGACCGUGUCUGUUCCGUACAUUUCCGUGAACCCCACUAAGCCGGAGGAGGCAACGGGAAGGCCAGUCCAGAUGCCAGGCCCUCCCCGUGCCCUUUGGAGAACAGCCCUUGUUGACAUGGUGAGCUAAGCUGUGGAGCCACGACAGGCAGGGUCCAGUGUUUGGGUUUGUUGUUGUUGUUUUUUUUUUUUUCCAACUGUUUUUUAAAGAAACAGUACAGAACAGUAUGAAUAUUAAUCAUAUAGUUCCUUAUUUGGAUGUCUUGAUGUCUGCUGAGUAAGAGAAGAGUUCACUUCCUGGAUGUAGAAGUCACCCUGCAACCUGGCACUGCCUCUGCCUUGUCGCUUGAGUAGCUUCUCGGUGCUCACAAGCUCUUUCCGUGUAGUCAGACUAAACCGCGGAGGUCCCGGAUCUGCUACCGUGGAUCCCUCCAAGCCCACGAUGGAGAAGGAACGUUGGAGUGCCUGCCGCUGAACGUUUAUGUACUUCUUCGUAGGCCCCUCCAAGAGAUAUUUAUUAAAGUCUGUGCUGUGGCAGGCACUUCGGAAGCAAAGUUCCACAGCCCAGCCAUCGUGGUCUGAUGAGUGAGGCAGACAUAUAGAAGAACAAAUGCAGUAUGGCCGCCCGGGUACUGCGAUACAGGUGCAUACAGAGAACGCGGGCGGGGGGUGGGGGGGAACCUGCAGGAGGAAGAGACAUUGCCGGGGGCAGAUAGGGCACAAGGAUACUUAACCUCAGUCUUGAAGAACAGUACAAGGCGUGAGUGGCAUGUCAUUGGAUAAGUGGGGUCUUCAAGGGGAAAGAAGCAGGCAUGAACUGACUCCUCUGUUCCGGGAAUUUCUUAGCAGCCUGCUAACGGUUGAAGUAUGAAACACAAGGGUUGCGUUGGAGAGUGGGCAAGAUCAAGGACAUUGUGGGCCUGGUGAGGACACUCAACCUCAUCUGGAGGCUAAUGAGAAGCCACUGAAGGUGAAAGAGGGAGAUCACAAUUACAUGUUGGGAAGAUCACUCUGGGGGCAGCUGGAGGGAGGACCAGAGGUUGUCAGAGUGGGCCGGCACCUACUAACCGUUGUCAGACUUUCCGGGGAAACUUUGACUGUUUUGUCCCCAAGGGCAAAUGCUCGGGGUAUAAUCUUGGGAAAAGUGUGCGCAUAUCAGGAAAACAUCGUUCUUCGAGCUUCUUGGAAAAGUGGUCGAUCUAGGAUGUGGCCCCGCCGAGUGAGCCGACGUCCCUGCUGAUGAGUGGUGGCUGUGUGUGUUUGUCUGUGCAUGCCUGUCCGCAUGGAGAGGGAGCACACAUCCCCGUUUCUUUUGUUUUUCUUCCUGGCCGGCCCCACCAGUGCCGGGCCUUUGGGGGCCUGGAGCACGUCCGCCUCCCCACCCACGCCGAAGGCAUCUCUGGUAAUGGCAUCUGGCCCAUAUGCACAUCGAGCUCUCCUUGGUGCUGACAUCAGCCAGUUUGUGGCACCUCAGCGUAUUUCUGGGUUGCAAAUGAGAGUUUCUUAGUGCCAGGCUUCGCUCGGGCUGUCACAUCAGGUGAUGAAUUCUCUGCAUCAACGGUGUGCUGCUAAGGAGGUUCCAUGAUGAGCCUGCUGCUGGCUUAGGCUUCAUCUGGUGGAAUUAAAUGUGAGAUCAGGCCUCGCUUCCAGGCCACAGGCCGCAGAAUUUCCUGUACGACUAGCUGCGAACGUAAAGGCUCCUGCAGGAGGCAUGUUCCUAGAGAUAACAAGGGCACACUUGGUUUUGCAGAUUUCACCUUCCCACCCCCGUGAGGCCUCAGUGCGUUUCCGACAUCAGCAUUUUGAAGGGAGUGUGUCUGUUCUAAAGGGAGGUUUGCAUCCGAAGAUGAGUGGAGGCGGCAGUUGGGGCGCAGAAGAAAAAUCAGAAGGAAAGUCUUAUUUCUUGCCACCCCCCGCCCCCACGGUCGCUAAUGAGACCAUCCUCCCUGCUCCCUGCGCCCGCCCCAGAGAUAAAUAAACACACAAAGGCGGAGUUUCCUACUUAAUAUGCACCCGCAGUCAGGAAGCGGGAAGGAAUUGCUCCCCAGGGUUAACGUGGCAGUAAGCGAGGUCAGCUGUUUCCCAAGACGGAGCAGCCUCUGAACGGCUUGCAUUAAGGCUGGAACAGCGCCGCCGAAGCAGCCAGAGUGAUUUACAGGAAACCUGGCGAAGUUGGGCUUGCUCGCAGUUUCUGAUCACGGAGGUUUUAGCGGGGGGCGCGGGGGUGGGGGGAGUAGUUACAGGAAUACAGGACUUCAGUGUUAAUGUUGAGGGGCCCCGGGCACAAGGGGAUAGCUGACCGCCCAAUCUGAAGUUGUGUGUGUCUGCGUGUGUGUUUAUGGAUAGAGGGGGAGUGAAAGAAAAGAGAUUGAUUUUAUUUAUUUUUAAGAGGUCUUAUAUAUUCUUCCUCACUGGGCCAACUAGGAUAAUUAAGAUGCCAGUUUUGGUAUCAGCUUGAACUGAUUCCUGUCUCUACCAUCUGUGAGUUUCCUGUACCCUCUGGCAUCCUGUGCACUGGUCUGAGAAAACAAAACUUUUUCAAACGUC